RNAcentral lists this transfer RNA (71 nucleotides) under Candidatus Gastranaerophilaceae bacterium. RNAcentral's name for it is "tRNA-Thr". It matches the Rfam family "tRNA". Rfam says of the family: Transfer RNA (tRNA) molecules are approximately 80 nucleotides in length. The record is from RNAcentral. Lineage: Bacteria; Bacillati; Candidatus Melainabacteria; Candidatus Gastranaerophilales; Candidatus Gastranaerophilaceae.
GCUGAUUUAGUAUAGUGGUAGUACAGAAGCAUGGUAAGCUUCAGGGGUAAGUUCAAUUCUUACAUUCAGCA